UACGUAGGGUCCGAGCGUUGUCCGGAAUUAUUGGGCGUAAAGAGCUCGUAGGCGGUUUGUCGCGUCUGCUGUGAAAUCCCGAGGCUCAACCUCGGGCCUGCAGUGGGUACGGGCAGACUGGAGUGCGGUAGGGGAGAAUGGAAUUCCUGGUGUAGCGGUGGAAUGCGCAGAUAUCAGGAGGAACACCGAUGGCGAAGGCAGUUCUCUGGGUCGUAACUGACGCUGAGGAGCGAAAGCGUGGGGAGCGAACAGG
RNAcentral lists this ribosomal RNA (253 nucleotides) under uncultured bacterium. RNAcentral's name for it is "partial 16S ribosomal RNA". It matches the Rfam family "Bacterial small subunit ribosomal RNA", at positions 524 to 776 of the family's 1533-position model. The record is from RNAcentral.